Long non-coding RNA from Myotis lucifugus (little brown bat), 406 nucleotides. RefSeq lists it as uncharacterized. NCBI's taxonomy places the organism in Eukaryota, Metazoa, Chordata, Mammalia, Chiroptera, Vespertilionidae. The record is from RefSeq and is a predicted model, not a curated record. The transcript is spliced from 2 exons.
AUGGCAUCAGCCGUCGGUGAGGAAGGGUGGCUGGAAGCCAGGCCUUGUGACCUGCCCCGUCCCCUGUGGCAGGACCAGUGAGGCUCACUGGGUACAAAUAGCCCUGGGCUCCCCAGGCUGCUCAGUCCAGCUCCUCAGCGCUCACUGUUUGCUCAGCUGAACGCUCAGCCGCAGGAACCAUGAAGCUGGCCCUGUCUCUGCUGCUGGUCACUCUGGCCCUUUGCUGCUCUGACGCAAAUGCAGAAGUCUGUCCAGUUAUUGAAAAAGGAGCGAGUAGGUUCAUCAUGAAGAGGAAUCUAGGCUUCAAAGAGACCCUUCUGAUGUUGAGCGCACCUAGAUCCUUCUACCAGGCUGUGUUGGAUGUGAAGCAUUGCACAAAUAGUAUCUCCUAUUCUGGCAGAAAAAA